UGGAGGUAGAAGGGGGGGAUCGCAAGACCUCUCGCUAUUGGAGCGGCCGAUAUCAGAUUAGCUAGUUGGUGGGGUAAAGGCCUACCAAGGCUACGAUCUGUAGUUGGUCUGAGAGGACGACCAGCCACACUGGGACUGAGACACGGCCCAGACUCCUACGGGAGGCAGCAGUGGGGAAUUUUGGACAAUGGGCGCAAGCCUGAUCCAGCAAUGCCGCGUGCAGGAAGAAGGCCUUCGGGUUGUAAACUGCUUUUGUCAGGGAAGAAAUCUUCUGGGUUAAUACCUCGGGAGGAUGACGGUACCUGAAGAAUAAGCACCGGCUAACUACGUG
RNAcentral lists this ribosomal RNA (331 nucleotides) under uncultured bacterium. RNAcentral's name for it is "bacterial SSU rRNA". It matches the Rfam family "Bacterial small subunit ribosomal RNA", at positions 195 to 507 of the family's 1533-position model. The record is from RNAcentral.